This 542-nucleotide ribosomal RNA is filed under the name Alpheus simus. Its description in RNAcentral is "partial large subunit ribosomal RNA". It matches the Rfam family "Bacterial large subunit ribosomal RNA", at positions 1829 to 2625 of the family's 2925-position model. Lineage: Eukaryota; Metazoa; Arthropoda; Malacostraca; Decapoda; Alpheidae. The record is from RNAcentral.
GUCCUUAUGGAGAAAUAUGAGGUCUGGCCUGCCCACUGAUGGGUAGUUUAAGGGCCGCGGUAUACUGACCGUGCGAAGGUAGCAUAGUCAGUAGUCUUUUAAUUGGAGGCUUGAAUGAAUGGUUGGACACGAAGGGAGCUGUCUCGGUCUAGGGUGGUGAAGUUAACUUUGGUGUGAAAAGGCAUUAAUGGUUUAAAGGGACGAUAAGACCCUAUAAAACUUGAUGGUUAGUUGUUGAUCAGUGACUUAAGGUUAAGCAGGAUUAGAAGAUGAGCCAUUUUGCUGGGGCGGUAGGAAUAUAAGUUUUGGUAACUGUUUGUUUUGGAAGUGGAAUAAUUAUAAUUAGAUAAUGAUCCUGAAUUUUAGAUUAAAAGAGAGAGUUACUUUAGGGAUAACAGCGUUAUUUCUCUUGAGAGUUCAUAUCGACAGAGAUGUUUGCGACCUCGAUGUUGAAUUAAAGCUUUCUUUGGGAGUAGAAGUUCAUAGGAUAGGUCUGUUCGACCUUUAAAGUUUUACAUGAUUUGAGUUCAAACCGGUGUAAG